UUUGUACACCUACAAACACGCCUUUGAGUUUACUUUGUGAUGUUCAUGGAAAUUGGCUGCCACUAUGCAAGGAUACAACGCUGGCGUGGUUGAUGCCCACGAAGACUGCGAUGCACCUCAUGACGCUCGCCCAUUCCCGCUUGAACUUGUGCGGCUCACCAAGAUGGCUAUCGAGACACGGGUACAGCAGGCCCACUACAGCUGUAGAUGGAAAAAUGAAGAUUUAAUAAGAUAGUUUAAAAAUGUCAUCAUGGAAGUGUUAUUUGCUGAGUUUGCUUUUAAUUCGCAUGAAAAGAGGAAGCAAGUACUUUAAAAUUUCUACAUCAACUGGUAAUAUUAAAAUCUAAAGGGAAGCAUUUUCAUUAUAUAUUUUUAUGAGGAAACACAUUCAAGGUUUAGUUUGUGAAAGUUAAAUGCAAGGAAAAAUGCUUAACAGCUAGUUUGUGAACGUCCACAUGCUUGCGGACGUUGAAAAAGUAAUGGAAUGCUUAAAAUUCUUAUUUGGAAAGUGAUACUUUUGAACCUUUAUUCACUAAAUAACAGGUACUUGUUCCUAUUCAAGCUAAGAAAAUGCAAAAUUCAUUACAUCCCAUCUGACUUCCUGUCUUCCCCAUCAAACAAAGCCUUUGCCUCCAAAGCCCCGCCCUCGCAGUCACCCGUUAUGACUCCAACCAAUGAGCGCCCGGUUCGCCUCACGUCCUGUUUACUUAAGCCAAUGGAGGCGCGAAGAUACCAUAACCACACCGAACUUGGCUCCUUUAACUCUUACGUGUCCGCCAAACAAGCGUGAUAGAAGCCCACCAUAAAAACCGCUAUGAAGUGUUAUAUAAUGGCUAACAACGUUGCCAGGGAGUGAAUCAUCACCGCAUGAUUCCCCUCGCGUAACCUCCUUUUAUCGCUUUGAAUGUGUCGUAAACGUCAAGUACUGUUGAUUAAUGGCGGACUACCUUGUACUUUAAAACGGGGGGGAAAAAUAACCCUGAAUCGGUCAGCCCAGGUCGUUAGACGGUACAGUUCAUUUUAGGUCGAACUAACCUGCCCCUGUACCGCAGCACGGCGGGAUCCACCAGGCUGACGAGAACAAGGUGGUCAUCACCUCCUCGGGGAAGAGCGUGACGUUCCGUUGGAUUUGCAAUAAAUUGAGCACCAGGGCAAGGAUCACACCGACGGCGAAAAGCACCAGACCGCGGCGGAUCAAGUUGAAUGUCCGGUGGCGGUGCAGCGAGGCAUAAGCGCUGCUCAGAACCGAUGUGAUGAUGGACAUCAUUUCCUCGCCUUUGGACGCCCACCAGUUGGUCGUAGAAGAUGGUGACGACGACUGUUCGCGUUCCAACUGAGGUGCACGAGAGCAACUCCAAUAUUGCUCCUCUAGGCUAGACAUUUGGCACUGAAGUUUAAAAAAAAAAGUUGAAAACAAUAAAACAUACAAACGUGAUGUCACUCUUCCCACCAUGUUUUGAGAGCUUUACCUUGAUCUCUUAACUCCUCUCUGCAGUCGAUGAACCCUCUCCCCGGGCUUCUAUUUGCACCCCACUGCGGAGUAGUUUCUUCACAUUAUUGUCUGCACGCUAGUAAGAAGAGAGGAAUGAGCUAAAAACACGUCGUCGUGCUAAGUAAAAACAGCUUCUUCUCGAUCAGACAACACAAUCACAGACAGCUGUGUCGGGUGAGACUCGACAGCCAAUCAGAAGCCGGCGUGUGAUAUGACGUCACUUCACCCCACCUCCCAUGCGCCACAACAACUGAAGGGGGCGGGGGGAGAAGCGGAAGUCGGGCCAUGCCGCCACCUCGAACCAAAAGCACAUUUUUCAAAUCUGUUUAUUUGUUGGGAUCAUUAAGAGGGCACCAUGUUUUAAGCACGCAAUGGACACUCGGAGUGAUGACGUAGAUCGUCACUGUCACUUGACGAAUACGACCGGCUUACUGCAAUCCCUUCUACGCGCUGUCCAUGUGCUCACGCUGAUAAAUCACUGGAGCCUUUGCACUUUACAAAGGGUGGAAAAAGUGGUGCGUAGCAAAAGAAAACCUUCGCACAACUACUACACCAUGGCAGAAAUCCAACCUUAAUGUGUUUUUCCGCCUCAGGACAAAAAGGGACACAGGCCAGCGCUUUUUAUGCGACGUGGUGAGAUGUUGGAAACUAUCAGAUGGGAUUGGGCGCCGGGUCUAAGUGGAAUUUAUUGGCCCGGACAUGGAGCAUCCCAACAUUACCGCCAGGGCAAUUAUGUGUGACCAUUACAUCCCUAAGUGAGAUGGAACUGCUCAUUAGGCUUAUGGUGUCAGUGAGGGUCCAAUUGUUUUCACCUUGUGAAUCAUUUUAUCUGGCUAUCUUACUGUCCAUACAUCACUCGCUUGAUCGCUAGCCUGAUUGCUAACUCGCCAUGUUUUAA
Long non-coding RNA from Corythoichthys intestinalis (scribbled pipefish), 2390 nucleotides. RefSeq lists it as uncharacterized. The transcript has 4 exons. Lineage: Eukaryota; Metazoa; Chordata; Actinopteri; Syngnathiformes; Syngnathidae. The record is from RefSeq and is a predicted model, not a curated record.